GUGGGGAAUAUUGCACAAUGGGCGCAAGCCUGAUGCAGCAACGCCGCGUGAGGGACGACGGCCUUCGGGUUGUAAACCUCUUUUAGCAGGGAAGAAGCGAAAGUGACGGUACCUGCAGAAAAAGCACCGGCUAACUACGUGCCAGCAGCCGCGGUAAUACGUAGGGUGCAAGCGUUGUCCGGAAUUAUUGGGCGUAAAGAGCUCGUAGGCAGUUUGUCGCGUCUGCUGUGAAAACCCGAGGCUCAACCUCGGGCCUGCAGUGGGUACGGGCAGACUAGAGUGCGGUAGGGGAGAUUGGAAUUCCUGGUGUAGCGGUGGAAUGCGCAGAUAUCAGGAGGAACACCGAUGGCGAAGGCAGAUCUCUGGGCCGUAACUGACGCUGAGGAGCGAAAGCGUGGGGAGCGAACAGGAUUAGAAACCCGAGUAGUCC
RNAcentral lists this ribosomal RNA (430 nucleotides) under uncultured bacterium. RNAcentral describes it as "partial 16S ribosomal RNA". It matches the Rfam family "Bacterial small subunit ribosomal RNA", at positions 354 to 796 of the family's 1533-position model. The record is from RNAcentral.